Molecule: ribosomal RNA, 253 nt
Filed under: uncultured bacterium
Lineage: Bacteria
Description: partial 16S ribosomal RNA
Rfam family: Bacterial small subunit ribosomal RNA
Source: RNAcentral
UACGUAGGGCGCAAGCGUUGUCCGGAAUUAUUGGGCGUAAAGAGCUCGUAGGCGGCUUGCCACGUCGAGUGUGAAAGCCCGGGGCUUAACCCCGGGUCUGCAUUCGAUACGGGCUAGCUAGAGUGUGGUAGGGGAGAUCGGAAUUCCUGGUGUAGCGGUGAAAUGCGCAGAUAUCAGGAGGAACACCGGUGGCGAAGGCGGCAUUCUGGACCGAUAUUGACGCUGAGGAGCGAAAGCCAGGGGAGCAAACGGG